CCCUUAGAUGUUCUGGGCCGCACGCGCGCUACACUGAUGAAUGCAACGAGCUCUACCCUUGACCGAAAGGCCCGGGUAAACUUGUGAAACUUCAUCGUGAUGGGGAUAGAUUAUUGCAAUUAUUAAUCUUCAACGAGGAAUUCCUAGUAAGCGCGAGUCAUCAGCUCGCGUUGAUUAUGUCCCUGCCCUUUGUACACACCGCCCGUCGCUCCUACCGAUUGAAUGGUCCGGUGAAAUCUUCGGAUUGCUGACCAAGAUCCAGCAAUGGAGCUUGGUUGCGAGAAGUUGAUUAAACCUUAUUAUUUAGAGGAAGGAGAAGUCGUAACA
RNAcentral lists this ribosomal RNA (327 nucleotides) under uncultured eukaryote. Its description in RNAcentral is "partial 18S ribosomal RNA". It matches the Rfam family "Eukaryotic small subunit ribosomal RNA", at positions 1470 to 1796 of the family's 1831-position model. The record is from RNAcentral.